CCUACGGGAGGCUGCAGUGAGGAAUAUUGGUCAAUGGCCGGAAGGCUGAACCAGCCAUGCCGCGUGAAGGUCAGUGCCCUAUGGGCGUUAAACUUCUUUUGUGCGGGAGCAAUAAUGGUCACGUGUGGCCAGACGAGGGUACCGUACGAAUAAGCAUCGGCUAACUCCGUGCCAGCAGCCGCGGUAAUAAGGGGGAUGCAAGCGUUAUCCGGAUUUAUUGGGUUUAAAGGGGGCGUAGGCUGUGAGGUAAGUCAGAGGUGAAAUGCCCCCGCUCAACGGGGUGAAGUGCCAUUGAUACUGCCGUGCUGGAAUGCGGAUGCCGUGGGAGGAAUGUGUGGUGUAGCGGUGAAAUGCAUAGAUAUCACACAGAACACCGAUUGCGAAGGCAUCUCACGAAUCCGCGAUUGACGCUGAUGCACGAAAGCGUGGGUAGCAAACAGGAUUAGAUACCCGAGUAGUC
Molecule: ribosomal RNA, 460 nt
Filed under: uncultured bacterium
Lineage: Bacteria
Description: partial 16S ribosomal RNA
Rfam family: Bacterial small subunit ribosomal RNA
Source: RNAcentral